This 102-nucleotide microRNA precursor is filed under the name Marmota monax (woodchuck). It matches the Rfam family "mir-562 microRNA precursor family". Lineage: Eukaryota; Metazoa; Chordata; Mammalia; Rodentia; Sciuridae. The record is from RNAcentral.
AGUGAGAUUGCUGGGUGAUAUAGUAAAUGUAUGUUUAACUUUAUAAGAAACUGCCAAACUGUUUUCCAGAGUGAUUGUGUAUUUUACAUUUCCACCAGCAAU